GACAGAGGUGCCGAGCGUUAGGCGGAAUCACUGGGCUUAAAGCGUGUGUAGGCGGGCCGUUAAGUGUCUUGUGAAAUCCCCCGGCUCAACCGGGGAAUUGCUGGGCAUACUGGCGGUCUUGAGCAGUCUAGGGGCAGAUGGAACAAGUGGUGGAGCGGUGAAAUGCGUAGAUAUCACUUGGAACGCCAAAGGUGAAGACAGUCUGCUGGGGACUUGCUGACGCUGAGAGACGAAAGCUAGGGGAGCGAAUGGG
RNAcentral lists this ribosomal RNA (253 nucleotides) under uncultured bacterium. RNAcentral's name for it is "partial 16S ribosomal RNA". It matches the Rfam family "Bacterial small subunit ribosomal RNA", at positions 524 to 776 of the family's 1533-position model. The record is from RNAcentral.